RNAcentral lists this ribosomal RNA (1480 nucleotides) under human gut metagenome. RNAcentral's name for it is "bacterial LSU rRNA". It matches the Rfam family "Bacterial large subunit ribosomal RNA", at positions 717 to 2280 of the family's 2925-position model. The record is from RNAcentral.
GAAACCGGGUGACCUAUCCAUGUCCAGGAUGAAGUGAGGGUAAAACCUCAUGGAGGUCCGAACCCACUCCCGUUGAAAUGGUAGGGGAUGAGGUGUGGAUAGCGGAGAAAUUCCAAUCGAACCCGGAUAUAGCUGGUUCUCCCCGAAAUAGUUUUAGGACUAGCCUCGUGAUCAAGAUUAUCGGAGGUAAAGCACUGAAUGGCCUAGGGGUCGAGAGAUUACCGAAGCCUAUCAAACUCUGAAUGCCGAAUAAUCAUGCACGGGAGUCAGACUGUGUGAGAUAAGUUUCAUAGUCGAAAGGGAAACAGCCCAGACCUACAGCUAAGGUCCCAAAGUACGUUUAAGUGGAAAACGAUGUGAAAUUGCGUAGACAACCAGGAUGUUGGCUUAGAAGCAGCCAUACAUUAAAAGAGUGCGUAAUAGCUCACUGGUCGAGUGACUUUGCGCGGAAAAUUUAACGGGGCUAAAACGUACACCGAAGCUUAGGCUUGCAACUAUGUUGCAGGGGUAGGGGAGCGUUGAAUGAGGGGUGAAGUCGUAGCGAAAGCGACGGUGGACUUCAUUCAAGUGAGAAUGCCGGAAUGAGUAGCGAGAAUUAUGUGAGAAUCAUAAUGGCCGAAAGCCUAAGGUUUUUGGAGGAAGGUUCGUCCGCUCCAAGUAAGUCGGAAGCUAAGGUGAGGCUGAAAAGCGUAGCCGAUGCACAAACGGUUGAAAUUCCGUUACCACAGAAAGAUUUAAACUAAGGGACACUUUUGAAGAGCUGAUGCCGGGUGUUGGUUACCCCGGUCGUAAGGGAACGAAAUUAAGUAGUGAAGUCAGCGUGGAUGAAGGCGAGAAAAGCUUAGUGUAUAUCUUAUGUGUCCGUACCGCAAACCGACACAGGUAGGUAGGAAGAGAAUUCUAAGGCCAACGGGAGAAGGGUAGUUAAGGAACUCGGCAAAAUGUCCCCGUAACUUCGGAAUAAGGGGAGGUUUCUACGGAAACCCGCAGAGAAUAGUCCCAGGCAACUGUUUAUCAAAAACACAGCUCUAUGCUAAAUCGAAAGAUGACGUAUAUGGGGUGACGCCUGCCCGGUGCCGGAAGGUUAAGAGGAGGAGUGAGAGCCCUGAAUCGAAGCCCCGGUAAACGGCGGCCGUAACUAUAACGGUCCUAAGGUAGCGAAAUUCCUUGUCAGGUAAGUUCUGACCCGCACGAAUGGCGUAAUGAUCUGGGAGCUGUCUCGACUGCCCGCCCGGCGAAAUUGUAGUACCGGUGAAGAUGCCGGUUACCCGCGACUAGACGGAAAGACCCCAUGGAGCUUUACUGUAGCUUAAUAUUGGAUUUCGGCAUUUCAUGUACAGGAUAGGUGGGAGACUAGGAAACAUAGGCGUCAGCUUAUGUGGAGUCGUCCUUGGGAUACCACUCUUGGAGUGCUGAAAUUCUAACCUGCAGCCCUGAAUCGGGUUGGGGGACAUUGUUAGGUGGGCAGUUUGACUGGGGC